GACGAACGCUGGCGGCGCGCUUAAUACAUGCAAGUCGAACGGAAAGGCCUGCUUUCCCUUGUGGAUUGCGGGUACUCGAGUGGCGAACGGGUGAGUAACACGUGAGUGAUCUGCCCCCAACUUGGGUAUAAGCCUGGGAAACUGGGUCUAAUUCCCGAUAGGACUGCAGGGUGGUGCCUGUGGUGGAAAACGAUUUUCUAGUGGUUGGGGAUGAGCUCGCGGCCUAUCAGCUUGUUGGUGGGGUAAUGGCCUACCAAGGCGGCGACGGGUAGCCGGCCUGAGAGGGUGGACGGCCACAUUGGGACUGAGAUACGGCCCAGACUCCUACGGGAGGCAGCAGUGGGGAAUAUUGCACAAUGGGCGGAAGCCUGAUGCAGCGACGCCGCGUGGGGGAUGACGGCCUUCGGGUUGUAAACUCCUUUCGACCGCGAGGAAGCCACCUGGUUGGAAGGGUGGUGACGGUAGUGGUAGAAGAAGCACCGGCUAACUACGUG
This 494-nucleotide ribosomal RNA is filed under the name uncultured bacterium. RNAcentral's name for it is "partial 16S ribosomal RNA". It matches the Rfam family "Bacterial small subunit ribosomal RNA", at positions 28 to 507 of the family's 1533-position model. The record is from RNAcentral.